Gopherus flavomarginatus (Mexican gopher tortoise) is the source of this 490-nucleotide long non-coding RNA. RefSeq lists it as uncharacterized. The transcript has 3 exons. The record is from RefSeq and is a predicted model, not a curated record. Lineage: Eukaryota; Metazoa; Chordata; Testudines; Testudinidae.
CUGUGGGGAGGAUGGGGUUCUGUGGGGGGAAUGGGGUGCAGUGGGGGUGGGGUUCUGGCAGUGAGGGAUGCUGUGGAGGCAUGUAGAGAAGUGGGGGUGCUGUGGGGAGGAUGGGGUUCUGUGGGAGGAAUGGGGUGCAGUGGGGGUGGGGUUCUGGCAGUGGGGAGUGCUGCAGAGGCAUAUAGAAAAGUGGGGGUGCUGUGGGGAGGAUGGGGUUCUGUGGGAGGAAUGGGUGAGGGUGGGGUUCUGGCAUUGGGGGGUGCUGCAGAGGUGUGUAGAGAAUGGGGGUGCUGUGGGGAGGAUGGAGUUCUGUGGGAGGAAUGGGGUGCAGUGGGGGUGUGGUUCUGGCAGCGAGGGAUGCUGUGGAGGUGUGUAGAGAAGUGGGGGUGCUGUGGGGAGGAUGGGGUUCUGUGGGAGUAAUGGGGUGCAGUGGGGGUGGGGUUCUGGCAGUGGGAGGUGCUGCGGGAGCAUGUAGAAAAGUGGGGGUGCU